GACGAACGCUGGCGGCGUGCUUAACACAUGCAAGUCGAACGGAAAGGCCUCUUUCGGGGGGUACUCGAGUGGCGAACGGGUGAGUAACACGUGAGUAACCUGCCCAUGACUUUGGGAUAACUUCUGGAAACGGGGGCUAAUACCGGAUAGGAGCUCCUUCUGCAUGGUGGGGGUUGGAAUUGUUCUGCGGUUGGGGAUGGACUCGCGGCUGAUAAGCUUGCGGGUGGUGGAGGGGCUGAGCAAGGCAUUGGCGGGGAGCCGGCCCGGGAGGGUGACCGGCCACAUUGAGACUGAGACACGGACCAGACUCCGACGGGUGGGAGAAGCGGCGAAGAGUGAAAAAGGAGUGGGGGCGUGAUGCAGCACCGGCGUGUGCGGGAUGACGAUCAUCGGGUUGUAGUCCGAAUUCGCUCAUGACGAAGCUGUGUGUGACGGUAGUGGGUGAAGAAGCACCGGCUAACUCCGUG
This 467-nucleotide ribosomal RNA is filed under the name uncultured bacterium. Its description in RNAcentral is "partial 16S ribosomal RNA". It matches the Rfam family "Bacterial small subunit ribosomal RNA", at positions 28 to 507 of the family's 1533-position model. The record is from RNAcentral.